RNAcentral lists this ribosomal RNA (473 nucleotides) under uncultured bacterium. RNAcentral describes it as "bacterial SSU rRNA". It matches the Rfam family "Bacterial small subunit ribosomal RNA", at positions 335 to 802 of the family's 1533-position model. The record is from RNAcentral.
ACUCCUACGGGAGGCAGCAGUAGGGAAUCUUCCACAAUGGACGAAAGUCUGAUGGAGCAACGCCGCGUGAGUGAAGAAGGGUUUCGGCUCGUAAAACUCUGUUGUUAAAGAAGAACAUAUCUGAGAGUAACUGUUCAGGUAUUGACGGUAUUUAACCAGAAAGCCACGGCUAACUACGUGCCAGCAGCCGCGGUAAUACGUAGGUGGCAAGCGUUGUCCGGAUUUAUUGGGCGUAAAGCGAGCGCAGGCGGUUUUUAAGUCUGAUGUGAAAGCCUUCGGCUCAACCGAAGAAGUGCAUCGGAAACUGGGAAACUUGAGUGCAGAAGAGGACAGUGGAACUCCAUGUGUAGCGGUGAAAUGCGUAGAUAUAUGGAAGAACACCAGUGGCGAAGGCGGCUGUCUGGUCUGUAACUGACGCUGAGGCUCGAAAGUAUGGGUAGCAAACAGGAUUAGAUACCCCUGGUAGGAUAGCG